GUUGAAACACCGGUUCAUGUACGAUUACCGAAGUUAAGCAACGUCGAGACUCGUCAGUACCUAGAUGGAUGACCGUUUGGGAAUACCAGGUAUUGUAAG
This is a non-coding RNA of Acanthosepion pharaonis, 99 nucleotides long. Lineage: Eukaryota; Metazoa; Mollusca; Cephalopoda; Sepiida; Sepiidae. The record is from the annotation of a GenBank genome assembly.